Molecule: long non-coding RNA, 687 nt
Organism: Hemicordylus capensis (graceful crag lizard)
Lineage: Eukaryota; Metazoa; Chordata; Lepidosauria; Squamata; Cordylidae
Exons: 3
Source: RefSeq, a predicted model, not a curated record
AUCGGCAGGAGAUUUAGGAUGGAAAAAAGGAAGUACUUCUGGACAUUAGCACAUGUCCAUUUCAAUGAGGGAGCACAUUCCAGAGCCCAGGAGCAGAUACAGAGAAGGCCCAUCCUGAGACGGACAUCUUCUGAUGACCUUAAAGUGCAGUGGGGAUCAUACUGAAGAAGUCGCUCUCCCAGAGCAACUAUCCCUGAGGGACACCAUCUGAAAUCUGCCUGAGAGAUAGCGACAGAACUACUGCAAAGCAGUACCUCCUUUCUCCAAAUCCCUCGGAUGAUUCAGAAGGAUAUCAUGGUCUAUGCCCUUUAGACACCACCACCUGAAUGAUCUAUAUGCCCAGCAAUCUCCAAAACUAAAGGAAUAAACUUAUAUAUAAUCAAGAUUAAUAUCAACAUUCAGAUUCCAUCAAGGAACAGUCUGCCUUAUUAAUGGUUUGAGUCUCUGCUCUGUGUCCCUGGCAUAUUAACUCUGUGGGUGUCCAAAAUAUAUACCUUCUUUGUGAGCUGUUCUGUACUGGAUGAAGGCCUCUGUGGUGUGGUUCUGUUGUAUUCUGGUUGAUUUAUAUAGUCUGCUAGGCUGUACCUUUGUACAUUUUUUUGGUUGGGUUUACUAUGAAUGUUUUAUGGUGGAAAAGUGGGAUAUACAUAUUUUAAAAACAGAAUAAACAUAAAUAACAAAAACAGA